RNAcentral lists this non-coding RNA (24 nucleotides) under Arabidopsis thaliana (thale cress). The record is from RNAcentral. Lineage: Eukaryota; Viridiplantae; Streptophyta; Magnoliopsida; Brassicales; Brassicaceae.
AUAAAGACGAACUUUUUCGGUGUC